This 364-nucleotide ribosomal RNA is filed under the name Nidirana daunchina (Emei music frog). Its description in RNAcentral is "partial 12S ribosomal RNA". It matches the Rfam family "Bacterial small subunit ribosomal RNA", at positions 858 to 1398 of the family's 1533-position model. The record is from RNAcentral. Lineage: Eukaryota; Metazoa; Chordata; Amphibia; Anura; Ranidae.
CACCAACCAACGCCAGGGAAUUACGAGCUAUGCUUAAAACCCAAAGGACUUGACGGUUUCCCACCCCCCUAGAGGAGCCUGUUCUAUAAUCGAUGAUCCCCGCUAUACCUAACCACCCCUCGCCAUCAGUCUGUAUACCUCCGUCGAAAGCUUACCAUAUGAAUGCUUCAGUAGGCCCAAUGAUCCCCGUCAACACGUCAGGUCAAGGUGCAGCUUAAGGAAUGGGAAGUGAUGGGCUACAAUUUCUAAACUAGAACAAACGAAAGACUAGGUGAAACCCUGGUCAUGAAGGCGGAUUUAGUAGUAAAAAGAAAAUAGAGUGUUCUUUUUAACAUGGCUCUGGGACGCGUACACACCGCCCGUC